GAAAUAGCGCAUUCUACGCUCCUCUCGUUUGUUCUCUCUUUCUCUCCUUUCUUUCUUCUUCCUCUUCUUUUCUGUUCAAUUUGAUUCAUGAUUUUGAUUUCUCGAUUCUAAAGAUUUGCAUGUUCGUUGUUCAGACUUCUUUGAUCGAUAGAUAUGGAUUUGCGUUUAUCGGAUUGCAUAGAUAUGAAGAAUUUCACACUUUUUUAUGGAUCAUCGUUUAUCGAGAAUUAUUUGUUGUGUAGUUUUUGAAUUAUUGGAUGUAGUUCUUCAUAAUUGAAUAAAUCGAUACAUGUGUUUAUCGGUUUUGCAGCGAUCGUACGUUUGGAAUCUGGAUAUGAGAACGAAGAACGCCAAAAUCGCUCGAUGCUCGACCUAUCCCUAGUUUAUGGAUCAUCGUGAUCUUAAGUUUGGAAUCUGGAUCGUUUUGCUAUUCAUAUGAGAACGGAGAACAAAGAAAUCGCUUGCUCAAUGGAUCAUCGGUUAUCAAUAAUUAUUUGAUUCAUUAUUUGAUUAUUGGAUAUAGCUCUUCAUAAUUCGAUAAUGCAGAUAUGUUCAUGGUUUUGUAGCAAGGUGAACAUUUUGAGAUUCUUGAUUCAACGGAUAUGAACAGAGAACGGCACCAGAUAGAUGAAUCAAAUUUCUUCAAUGAUUUGUAUUUAUGAUUUUUACUUCUUGGCUUUGAUUCCAUGGUGGUCAUAAGAAUUGAUAUGUGAAUAUGUUUUUCUGCAGCGUGGUUUAUCAAAAUAUGAAUAACAUGGAGCCUGGAUAUUUGAUUUGGUUAUAUCUUUCUUUGUUGAUUUGGAGAAUGAAAUUUUGAUUUCUUGAUUUGGUGUUUUACUUUCUUGAGUCUUUGAUUGCUUAAUUUCAGGGUUUGUUAUAAACGAGAUCCUAAGGAUCAAGAAUCAAGAAUUUCAUACAAUCGCACUUCUCUUCUUUACAUGAAAAUUUCUUAAAAUUCAUUUGAUAAUUAUUGUUUUCUUAAGAUUUUCAUAUAAUUAAUUAAUUCUUUAUGAUACUCGAGAUCAUUUAUCGGUUUUGCAGUGAAACCUCUUGAUACAUGGGACAAAAACGGCUCCAGCUAGAUAAAUCAAAUUUCUUUAUUAGGUUCUUAAUAAUUUUGAUUUGAUUGGAAGGCAUACAAAUUGAAUUUUAAACAUGUUCUUAAUUUAUUCUGCAGCGUGGUGGUUUGUCAAACUAAGCGGGAAUUUGGUGAUGUCUGUUACAUUUUUUUCUUUUCAAAAUUUCUUCAUUGUUUUCUAUGUAUAAUAUUAAAUCCGUUAAUAUUUUUUGAUUCAGUGAUCUCUUUGGUUUUUCAGGAGAAAUAAUCUAUGAAAACACGAUUUGCUCUGGUUCUAUCUUUCUUCCUCUAAUUUUGUAUUAUUUUUCAUUUCUGGGUUCGUGUGCGAUACAUAAAAAUUGGAUCAUGAACUUUCUUUUUCAGAUUGUUUUGUCCAAAUAAUAAACUCAUUCAUAGCAUAGAACCUCAACUCUUAAUUUGGUAAUAUGUAGUAAAUCAAAUUUGUUUAAAUCUUUAUUGAUUUUGAGAACAAAUAGUCCAUGAUUUUGUUGAUUUUGCAGCUAAAGUCAAGGUAUUCUUGAUUCAAUUGGUAAGUAAGGAGAACUGCUCCAUAAAUCGAAUUUCUUCAAUGAGCCAUUAUUUGUUAAUUUUUAAAAUUGAUUUUCUGCAGUGUGGUUUGUCAAAAUAAUGAUCUCCUUCAUUCAUAGCAUGGAGCCUCUUUUUGUUCAAUCUUUAGUGUUGUUGGAGAGCAUGUAUGAUUUGGAUGUCUAGAGUCUAGAGUUUGCAUGAUCUUCUUUCUACUUUCUUUCGUUUUUUGAUCCAUUAGCCACAUGUUGUUUUCUCCUUGAUUGCUUAAUUUCAGGUUUUCCUAUGAGCGAGAUCUUAGGGUUAUACUUCUCUUCAAUCUUCUUUUACAAUCCGUUAUCAAGAAUUAUUUCUGUAAUUUUUGGAUUGUUAAAUUGUUAAUUUACUUUUUGGUGUUACAUGAGAGGAUAUGAUUCCGAUUUCUUGAUUCUGAAGUUUGUUUAUUCUUGUUCAAACUUUCUUUCGUUUCUGGUUUUCUUAACCUGUUUGCUCCAUGAUUGCUCGAUUUCAGGGUUCUCCUGCUAAACGUGAGCAUAGAUGUCAUGAAUUUUAACUCUUCUCUUGACUCUUUGUUUACAAAUUCGUUAUCAAAACAUGUCUCUGUAUUUUUUGGGAUAUAAUUCUUCAUUUGAUAAUCUGGCGAUGCAUUUAUCCAUCUUGCAGUGAGCUGUAAAGUCUGCAUUAUCUAGAAAGUUUUUAUACACCUGAAAAGAACAACAGCUCCAGAUAGAUAAAUAUCAAAUUUCUUUAUUGAGCCAUUCUUUAUUAUUUUAAUUUCUGGCAUUCAAUUGCAAGACGUACGAAUUGAAUUUUGAACAUAUUUUCCUGCAGCAUAGUUGUCUUCAUGGCAUGGAGCCUAGCAUUUUUAUUCGGUGAUCUCUAUUAAAUUCUUCACAUUUUAUAAAAAAAAAUUAUUGACACCCUAUUUCCUUUUUUUUUUUGUUUUUUUUUUUGUUAUUUACUCUUCCAUGUUGCAGGAGAAGUGAUCGUUGAACAUACUCUGGUUCUAUUGAUCUUCCUCUUGGUUAUAUCUCAGAAGUUCAACUUUAGGUUUUCUAACACCAUCAUACUGCUGAUUCCUUAAAUUUUGGUUUUUGAUGUAAUCUGACAGUGUGAUAGUUUACACAAUUUUGGAGAAAUUGAGACUCUGCUUUGAUGUAAUCUCAUUUAGGUUUUCUUACUUUCGUUAAAUUAGAUAAUCGAGAUAUAUGUUUAACCAUUUUGCAGCAGGUGGCAGAAUUCUUGAAAACUAGAAACAUUUUACGAUUCUUGACACAACGGAUAUGAACAGAGUGGCUUCAAAUAGAUAAAUCAAAUUUCUUCAGUGAUUCAUUCUUUAUUUGUUUUUAAUAUCAAGCUAUUGAUUAUGAGAAGAGUUGAACUGUGAACAUGCUUUUUCUGCAGCUUGGUGUGUCUAAGUCCUUCUGAGUAUGGAGCCUUGAGUAUUUUUCUGGUGAUCUCUAUCUAGUAAAUUCAUCCCUUCAAUGCUACUGAGAGCAUAUAUUUCACACUCUGUCAUGUUUUUCUUUUCUUUCUUUCUAUUUAUGUUAUUUUUCGAUAUAAGUCUUCCUUUGAUAAUCGAAGAUUCGUUUAUCCGUUGUACUGUUAGCAGGGAAGUCUUGAAAUCUAGGAGACUUGAUGUAAUGGACAAGAACGGGGGAACACGAUUUUUCUUUAAUGAGUCCUUUAUUAUUUAAAUUUUUUUGGGAUUUGAUAGCAAGGCAUAGAGCCUAGUGUAUUUAUAAACAUUGAAUUUUGAACAUUUUUGUCUGCAGCACGGUUUGUCAAACCGAUGACUUCCUUCGCAGCAUAGAGCCUAGUGUAUUUAUUUGGUGAUAUCUAUCAUAAUCUAUUUGUUUUCAAUAUUUCUUUUACUACUCUGAGAGUGAAUAUUUCUUGAUUUGUUACUCUUUGGUGUUGCAGGAGCAAUAAUCUAUGUAUGAUUUCUUACGAUUCUAUCUAUCAUUCUCUUGUUUGAUCCUCAUGUUAUUCUUUUUUGGUUGAUUCUUUGGUAGACUGAUGUUUGCAGUUCUUAUGUAAUGAUCUGAUUGUUUAGUUUGUUUGGGUUAUAAUUGAUUGUUCUCUAAUUUCUUUGUUACAGCAAGUAUUAUUAAUCGUCAACAGAUGUUGUUUUGUGUUUAAGGUUUGAGUAAUAGGUAACAGUUAUGUUUUGUGGAACUUGGAAACAUAGCUGGAGUUCUGAUAUGUCUAACAACGGCUUGGUUUGGAGAUUUAAACUAUCUUCCUUCUGUUUGUCAGGGUUAAGUGUUACAUAGGUUUGAAGUGCAACAGAAGUCUCCAAUCACAUUUCACUUUAAGUUUUCCUUCUGAAAUGGAGAAAUUGGUUUGUGCUACUUACUUAUAAAAAGGAUAUUUUAUUUGAUAUAGACUUUCGACUGUUGAUAGGAUUGAGUUGCCAAUCUGAACAUAGGGAGAAAUUGGUGAUUAGUGCCUCUUUCCUUUGUACUAUUUAUCUUCUGUCAACUAAUUAACAAGGAUAAAUGAUUUGAUAUACGUAAUUAACAAGAAUACGUGACUUGACAUAAAAUUUCAACUGUUGCUAGGAUUGAUUUGGCAAUCUGGACUUGGGGAGAAAUUGGUGGAGAUGAGUGCCUCUAUCUUUUGUACUACUUAACUUCUGUCAACUAAUUAAUACAUGAUUUGAUAUACGUUUUAGUCUAUUGCUAGGAUUGAUUUGGCAAUCUGAAUUUAGCGAGAAAUUGGUGGAGUGCCUCCAUUUGUACUACUUAUCUUCUGUCAACUAAUUAACAACAUGAUUUAUGUUUUCAACUGUUGCUAGGAUUAAUUUGGCGAUCUGAACUUAGGGAGAAAUUGGCGGAGAUGAGUGUCUCUGUCCUUUUGUUUGUACUACUUAUCUUGUUUCUAUGAUCAACGUAGUUUUCAUUGAUAUUUGUAAUUUAUGAAGAUGUCAUCUUCAUUACAGUGGCCCAAGGACUCCUGUAUUUGAGUUUUAUGUGUGUGAUACGGAGGAGAAACCUAUAAAUGUGGCAGGAAGCGAGGUUCCAUUCAGCCUUGGGAUAAAAAUGUGCAAAGUUUAUGCCAUUCUAGAGAUGCUGGGAUAGCUUGAUGGGGCCGCUCUUUGUUAUGCUGCUGAUCUUCAACUUGAUUAGAGGAAUCAGGCUGCUAUUCUUUCUCUCUUAGUUCUUUUUGUUGCAACCUAUUUGUUACAGCAUAAUUUUCUGUACAUUUUCAUCUGGUGUUAACAGGGUUAGUGUUACAUGGGUUUGGUGUACCACAAAUACUCUUCAACUUCCCUCUGUUCUUUUGAACAGACUAUGAAUAUUUGGUCUGCUGUGGUCUGUGGAAGCCAAAGGUUAACAUACUAUUUAUUCUGAAUCGCCUGGUUUGGAGUUUAUUUGUUCUCGAAAUCUGCCAUUCUUUUUGUUAUCUGUGAUAUAUGAGAAUAAGAAUCUUUUCCGCCAAAUCUGUAUAUCUUUGUCACAGCAAGGAAUCAUAAAUUUAUGUUGUUGCACAUGGAGCAGAAAUCUGCAAUUAGCUGUGACUUAAUUCUGACUAUUCGGUAUACUUCCACUUGGUGAUCUCCACUCUAAAUACUAAUUCGUCACGGGUGUCUCUUAGGAAUUUAGUUUUCUUGAUUCCUUAAGUUCCAUGUGUCUGUUAUAGGGGGAUGGGACUGCAAAAGCUAUGGCGAGAAUAAGAAGUUCUGCGAUAGCCUAUGAAUGUAAUGUGGGAUGGUAUAAGUUGUGGUAUUCAGGACUUGCUUUGAGAUCUGGGUUUAAACCGUUUAUUUUUCCUUGAAUAAUUUUUCUGGAUUGGAAUUGUUUUCUUUUCAUGGUGUCAUGUGGUAAUGUUGAUUUGUGUGUUGUUUAUCAGGAAUCUGGGUAUAAGAAGAGCUUUAGAAUAACAACAAUUUCCUCGUAUAACUUUGGAAAAAUGGGAUUCUAGAGUUUUGGACAGCUUGGGUCGGCUCUUAGUAUUUGGAUGUUGGCGUCUUAGUUUGGGGGAGCUUUUCUAUACCACUUUUGAUAAAAGCACAAGCAUAGUUAUACUUCUGUUUAGUACAGAUCAAACAGUAUGUCAAAGGUCGCUUGUGUCCGUGCAUUAUGUUUGUUUGCAACCUCUUUGCUUAAGUUUGGUAGUCUCCUAUCCUUUUUCCUUCCUCAACAGCACCGAUCUUGGUUGUGAGUUUUAUCGAAUGGUUUGUGUAUACUUUACUAUUAACAAAGGUGGUGUCCGGACUCCUCGCUUACGAAUCUACAUGGGUUGCGGAAGUUGCGGAUGAUAUUACCACAGAGGAUGAUGAGUUUUUGGCAGCCUGAGGAUUUCAAGUGUCAAUUAACUUCCUCUUUAAAUGGUGUACGCUCUUUGUUAUAGCAGAAAGUACUCUAUUUGUUAUGCCAGAACCACAUUUGUCCCGGUUGGCCUACUUGUCUCAUUUAGUUUUUUCGCAUAGUCCGAUGAGUAUCUGAUGGUGAUCUAGUAACAUGAUCACAGGAUGUAGCAGUCUUUAGAAAACCAUUGGUUAGGGAGGGCAAAGAAUUAAGUUUGGAAGGGAUUUUUACUUUUCUUUUGUACCAUGGUAAGAGAAGGAACUAAGCUAUGUUAAGACAAGUUUUAUGUUUUUAAUGUAUCAUUGAUCAAUUUAUUUAUCCCAAUUCUGUUUUCUAUUUCAUACUGUUUGAUAAAAAGAAAAGAAAACACUGUUAGAUAUAAUAUUAAUUUUGCAAAU
Molecule: long non-coding RNA, 6314 nt
Filed under: Medicago truncatula (barrel medic)
Lineage: Eukaryota; Viridiplantae; Streptophyta; Magnoliopsida; Fabales; Fabaceae
Description: lncRNA gene46994
Source: RNAcentral